CAACUUUCAGCAAUGGAUCUCUUGGCUCUCGCAUCGAUGAAGAACGCAGCGAAACGCGAUAUGUAAUGUGAAUUGCAGAUCUACAGUGAAUCAUCGAAUCUUUGAACGCACCUUGCGCUCCUUGGUAUUCCGAGGAGCAUGCCUGUUUGAGUGUCAGUG
RNAcentral lists this ribosomal RNA (159 nucleotides) under uncultured fungus. Its description in RNAcentral is "5.8S ribosomal RNA". It matches the Rfam family "5.8S ribosomal RNA". Rfam says of the family: 5.8S ribosomal RNA (5.8S rRNA) is a component of the large subunit of the eukaryotic ribosome. Lineage: Eukaryota; Fungi. The record is from RNAcentral.